GUGGGUCUCCGCUGUGGCCAGGCAGUUCAGCCUUGCCGUCAACCCUCCAUGUGAUGAGUGAGUUGCCGGUUGAGCUGGAAUGUCCUGGUAUUGGGGGCUCAUCUGGUAUUGUAGACAACCAUCUGUCUAACCUGUUCGUGAAGAGGUCCGGUGUGACCCCUGGCAGGUUCCUGAUGGUGUCCGGCACAGCGUUGAAGAGGUCCGCUUAAAACGACACACCGAUUUAUUUGAAGUCAAGGACGGAGAUUGAAACGGCCUUGAAAAACACCACACCUGUUUUGUCCACCGCCAUCACCACCUUCUUCCAGAUCAAGGACAAAGUGUAUUACAGAUUCACACAUAAGGAAGAGGUGCAUGCCAUGAGGGAGGCGGUGGAGGUGUGGGGGGUCCAGCACGCCAUCACAGACAACCUGCAGUUCAUGCUUGGGAUGGAACACACUGGGACAGCCUCGGACCAUUGGUGGGAGGAAGACAAGGCUGUGGCAAUUUUGCCACUCAGACCUGUUGCCA
This is a long non-coding RNA of Portunus trituberculatus (swimming crab), 510 nucleotides long. RefSeq lists it as uncharacterized. The record is from RefSeq and is a predicted model, not a curated record. Lineage: Eukaryota; Metazoa; Arthropoda; Malacostraca; Decapoda; Portunidae. The transcript is spliced from 3 exons.